Molecule: ribosomal RNA, 465 nt
Filed under: uncultured bacterium
Lineage: Bacteria
Description: partial 16S ribosomal RNA
Rfam family: Bacterial small subunit ribosomal RNA
Source: RNAcentral
GACGAACGCUGGCGGCGUGCUUAACACAUGCCAGUCGUACGGUAAGGCCCUUUCGGGGGUCCACGAGUGGCGAACGGGUGAGUAACACGUGAGUAACCUGCCCACAACUUUGGGAUAACGCUAGGAAACUGGUGCUAAUACUGGAUAUGUGCUCCUGCUGCGUGGUGGGGGUUGGAAAGCUCCGGCGGUUGUGGAUGGACUCGCGGCCUAUCAGCUUGUUGGUGGGGUAGUGGCCUACCAAGGCGGCGACGGGUAGCCGGCCUGAGAGGGUGACCGGCCACAGUGGGACUGAGAUACGGCCCAGACUCCUACGGGAGGCAGCAGUGGGGAAUAUUGCACAAUGGGCGCAAGCCUGAUGCAGCAACGCCGCGUGCGGGAGGACGGCCUUCGGGUUGUAAACCGCGUUCAGCAGGGACGAAGCUUUUUGUGACGGUACCUGCAGAAGAAGCACCGGCUAACUACGUG